RNAcentral lists this transfer RNA (73 nucleotides) under Operophtera brumata (winter moth). It matches the Rfam family "tRNA". From Rfam's summary of the family: Transfer RNA (tRNA) molecules are approximately 80 nucleotides in length. Their secondary structure includes four short double-helical elements and three loops (D, anti-codon, and T loops). The record is from Rfam by way of RNAcentral. Lineage: Eukaryota; Metazoa; Arthropoda; Insecta; Lepidoptera; Geometridae.
UGUUCUAUGGCUGAACUGGUAAAGGCAUUGCCGAUCACAGGCAAGGUUGCGGGUUCGAGUUCCGCUGUAACGG